RNAcentral lists this ribosomal RNA (301 nucleotides) under uncultured bacterium. RNAcentral describes it as "partial 16S ribosomal RNA". It matches the Rfam family "Bacterial small subunit ribosomal RNA", at positions 509 to 809 of the family's 1533-position model. The record is from RNAcentral.
CAGUCGCCGCGGUAAUACGUAGGGUGCAAGCGUUAAUCGGAAUUACUGGGCGUAAAGCGUGCGCAGGCGGUUAUAUAAGACAGAUGUGAAAUCCCCGGGCUCAACCUGGGAACUGCAUUUGUGACUGUAUAGCUAGAGUACGGCAGAGGGGGAUGGAAUUCCGCGUGUAGCAGUGAAAUGCGUAGAUAUGCGGAGGAACACCGAUGGCGAAGGCAAUCCCCUGGGCCUGUACUGGCGCUCAUGCACGAAAGCGUGGGGAGCAAACAGGAUUAGAGACCCCGGUAGUCCUGUCUCUUAUACA